ACACAAUUGCGGGCAGCUUUACACAUGCAGUCGAACGGUAACAGGGUGCUUGCACCGCUGACGAGUGGCGAACGGGUGAGUAAUGCAUCGGAAUGUACCGUGUAAUGGGGGAUAGCUCGGCGAAAGCCGGAUUAAUACCGCAUACGCCCUGAGGGGGAAAGUGGGGGACCGUAAGGCCUCACGUUAUACGAGCAGCCGAUGUCUGAUUAGCUAGUUGGUGGGGUAAAGGCUCACCAAGGCGACGAUCAGUAGCGGGUCUGAGAGGAUGAUCCGCCACACUGGGACUGAGACACGGCCCAGACUCCUACGGGAGGCAGCAGUGGGGAAUUUUGGACAAUGGGCGCAAGCCUGAUCCAGCCAUGCCGCGUGUCUGAAGAAGGCCUUCGGGUUGUAAAGGACUUUUGUCCGGGAGCAAAUCCCAGUGGUUAACACCUACUGGGGCUGAGAGUACCGGAAGAAUAAGCACCGGCUAACUACGUGCCAGCAGCCGCGGUAAUACGUAGGGUGCAAGCGUUAAUCGGAAUUACUGGGCGUAAAGCGUGCGCAGGCGGUUGUGCAAGUCUGAUGUGAAAGCCCCGGGCUUAACCUGGGAACGGCAUUGGAGACUGCACGACUAGAGUGCGUCAGAGGGGGGUAGAAUUCCGCGUGUAGCAGUGAAAUGCGUAGAGAUGCGGAGGAAUACCGAUGGCGAAGGCAGCCCCCUGGGAUGACACUGACGCUCAUGCACGAAAGCGUGGGGAGCAAAACAGGAUUAGAUACCCCUGGUAGUCCACGCCCUAAACGAUGUCAAACUAGCUGUUGGGGGUUUGAAUCCUUUGGUAGCGAAGCUAACGCCGAGAAGUUGACCGCCUGGGGAGUACGGGCCGCAAGGUUAAAAAUUCAAAGGAAUUGAGGGGGGACCCGCACAAGCGGUGGGAUGAUGUGGAUUAUUCCAUGCAACGCGAAAAACACUUACCUU
This 958-nucleotide ribosomal RNA is filed under the name Chromobacterium haemolyticum. Its description in RNAcentral is "bacterial SSU rRNA". It matches the Rfam family "Bacterial small subunit ribosomal RNA", at positions 31 to 977 of the family's 1533-position model. Lineage: Bacteria; Pseudomonadati; Pseudomonadota; Betaproteobacteria; Neisseriales; Chromobacteriaceae. The record is from RNAcentral.